Molecule: long non-coding RNA, 1559 nt
Filed under: Homo sapiens (human)
Lineage: Eukaryota; Metazoa; Chordata; Mammalia; Primates; Hominidae
Description: non-protein coding PCBP1-AS1:259
Source: RNAcentral
AUUAGAAACAAUAGUGUACGCCUGUGGAGGCCUCGUUUGUUCAGGGGCUGCCGGCCAGGGCUUCAGGACGUUUCUGCGGCUUUCCCCGCGCGGCCUGGGCUCCCGCGGCUGCUUUUCGGGCCCAUGGGCGCAGCCACUGCGCCAGGCUCAAGGGGGGCGGCCCCGUCAGGGCCCGCCAUCUUGGAAGGCCUUUUUUGCCGGUUCUUCCCGCUGAGGAAGUGUCGCUCAAGACGCUGGCCUAUGAGUUGUGAUUUCUGCCUUUUCCCCUUCCUCCUUGGGCUAAGCCAGACCAGAAAGGGCCCCGUGCGCAACGUGCUUCACAAUCUCUCAGGGAAAGCGGCUAACGUGGCGCUACUCCGCCUCCCCUGUUCCUUACCCUUGGGGCGGCCGCCAUGUUUCCUGAACACAAAAUGGCGACACGUGGUUAGCAUUCGUCGCCAACGAGAAAUUGGGGUCGGCCCGAAAGCUCUAGAAUGCACCCCUCUUCCUCCCCGGGGCCUUCCACCUCCGCGAGUUUUAUGACUUAAAAAAGCCCACAGGCUGGUCUGAAGACUUCCUAGCAUGGGCUGUUGUGCUGGAGAGAACGAGAGCUACGAAGAGACUACAGUGCCUCUGACUUUUUCAUAGGACAGUUGGCCGAGGAAGACAAACAUAAAGAUGAAGUGCUUAAUUCAAGGUCACACAAUGUCGGGGAUGGACCUCCAGAUUUCCUUACUGGUGAGACGUGGUCUUGUAACACAGUGGUUAAGAAUGUGACUUUGGAGCCAGCCUGCUAGGGGCUGAAUUCUGACUCAGCCAUUUACUAACUGUGUGACCUUAGGUCACAGAAUUUUCCACACUCCUUGACAGAGGUGCUUAACCCUUAUCCAUCAGCAUUCUCAGACAGCACCUCCGGUUAGGGACAGUAUCUGACCGUCCGACAUCCCUGCAGCCCCCAUGUGUCACACAGACUCAGCCUCAGGUAGAUGGUUUCCGUAGAUGGUGGCUUUCUUUGGACCCUUGACAUCAACCAGUUACUAUUUGGUCUAGGGGUCUCACCAACGCUGCUCAUCUAGCAGGGCCACACAUAACAAAUAGAAGCAGAGCAAGCCCUGGAACUCCUGCCUGACAGUGACACGACGACAGAAACAUCUUACCAGUCAGAGGACCAUGAGAAAUAGAUUCAAGGAGCAUUCCACGUGCAAGUGAGUCUUGGCCCCAUCUGCCUUUGGAUUUUAGCCGUGAACUGGAAGGUAUUGGAAAGAAGACCCUCAGAAAUAGCUUAAUCAAAAUCCCUGCGUCUGAACCAAGUGCCUUAUUUCUCUGUGGGCCUCAAGCUUCGCUGACAUCUGUGGAGCACACUGUCCUAACAGGAGUGCUGUCUGAUUUCCCAACGCUCUGCAAAACAAACAGCCUGGAAGGGUGGCUGGUGGAAGGUGGUUUUUAGAGAGAGACUUGUAGAUAACAGGAAAGUGAAGGCUGUAAGGAAGGUUGUAAUUAAACAGCACAUGGAAACACAAUCACAUUAUUGUCCCAUUCCAUAGGGAUAAUGAUGACCACUUCAGUGGGAAAAGGAGAGG